This 345-nucleotide unclassified non-coding RNA is filed under the name soil metagenome. RNAcentral describes it as "partial contains 5.8S ribosomal RNA, internal transcribed spacer 2, and large subunit ribosomal RNA". The stretch from base 1 to 121 matches the Rfam family "5.8S ribosomal RNA", at positions 35 to 154 of the family's 154-position model. The record is from RNAcentral.
GAUGAAGAACGUAGCGAAAUGCGAUAAGUAAUGCGAAUUGCAGAAUUUCCGUGAGUCAUCGAAUCUUUGAACGCACAUUGUGCCCACUGGUAUUCCGGUGGGCAUGCCUGUUCGAGCGUCAUUAUCCUCCCUCAAACCCCGGGUUUGGUGUUGGACCCAAGUUGUGUGAACAACUGGUCUUAAAGACAAUGACGGCGUCCGUGGGACCCUCGGUGCAACGAGCUUUUAGGAGCACGCAUCGAGUUGCAAGGACCUUCCGGGCCGGUCUCCUUUACUAUUUUACAAGGUUGACCUCGGAUCAGGUAGGAAUACCCGCUGAACUUAAGCAUAUCAAUAAGCGGAGGA